UACGUAGGGUGCAAGCGUUGUCCGGAAUUAUUGGGCGUAAAGAGCUCGUAGGCGGUUUGUCGCGUCGAAUGUGAAAACCCGGGGGCUCAACCCCGGGCCUGCAUUCGAUACGGGCAGACUAGAGUUCGGUAGGGGAGAUCGGAAUUCCUGGUGUAGCGGUGAAAUGCGCAGAUAUCAGGAGGAACACCGAUGGCGAAGGCAGCUCGCUGGGACGGUACUGACGCUGAGGCGCGAAAGCGUGGGGAGCAAACAGG
This 254-nucleotide ribosomal RNA is filed under the name uncultured bacterium. Its description in RNAcentral is "partial 16S ribosomal RNA". It matches the Rfam family "Bacterial small subunit ribosomal RNA", at positions 524 to 776 of the family's 1533-position model. The record is from RNAcentral.